AUGCGUGCGGCAUGGAAUCCAGCAAAUGAAGUAAUUUGGAGGAGGAUAAAUCCUAACCUCUACUCUAUCCAAUUCAACUGCUUGGGUGAUUGGAACAAGGCCAUGCAUCAGGGCCCCUGGGAUUUCAAAGGUCAUGCUUUAAUUCUUGCUGAGUAUGAUGGUUUCUCCAAGCCAGAAAAGGUAAAACUUGAUCGGUUGGAAACCUGGGCACAAAUUCACAAACUGCCAGAUGGAGUUCUGAAAAACAAAAGCUUUCUGGAAAACCUAGCGAGUCGCAUUGGCGAAGUACAAGAGGUCCAGGUUACGCUCCCUAAUGGUUUUGUUGGCGAGUUUAUAAGAGUCAGAGUAAGGCUGGAUGUAAGCAAAAAAUUAACAAGAGUAGUCAGAUUUGCCAAGGCGGGUGUAACUGAACCUUAUAGUGUGAAGUUUGAGAAACUACCAACCUUUUGUUAUGAGUGCGGUAUGAUGGGACUCUGGUAUGAAGAGUGUGGAUCAGGAGAGCAUGAUACCACAAAAUUUGAGUGGGGUCCGUUCAUUCUUGCUUCUAGAAGAGGGGCUAGAGGAGGUAGACCUGGUGCUGCUAAUCGUGGUGAGGUGCCUGAAAUGUCAGGUGGUCGAGGCCGAGGCCGUGGGAGGAGGGAAAAUAAUUUCGGUGGUCGUGGACAAAAGCCAAGGGACACAGAACAUGAGAACGUGGUGAAUCAACCUGAGGCCCCUGUUUUGGGCGAAGGUAUACUGUCAAAUUAUGAUCACAAUAGAAGCUGGAGGUUUAAUGCCCAAAUGGACCAAGCAGCCAUUAUAGGGACGUCAUCGUUGAUGACUGACCAACAGCAUGAAGACUCCCUUGGGUUGAGGAAGAGGGCUGCUCAUGACUCGACAUCGAGGGGCCUGACGAAUGAUCCUCUGGAUCAGAGUACGGAGCUAAUUCCGAUGGGUAAUACAGUUGUGAUUGCUCAGCAUUUUGAGGGAAGAGAAGAAGAGGCCUUGGUUGACGGGGGCACGCCGCAAAAAAGCCUGAACAGGAAGAAGCUAAAAGGAACAGAUGGAGAGGCAGUUACAAAAAAAUCUGAUAUUACAUCGGCGACCUCCGAACAGGGGGAUCGCCGGAAGCAAUGA
This 1116-nucleotide ribosomal RNA is filed under the name Triticum aestivum (bread wheat). Its description in RNAcentral is "partial small subunit ribosomal RNA". The record is from RNAcentral. Lineage: Eukaryota; Viridiplantae; Streptophyta; Magnoliopsida; Poales; Poaceae.